UGCCAGCAGCCGCGGUAAUACGGGGGGUGCAAGCGUUAAUCGGAAUUACUGGGCGUAAAGCGCGCGUAGGCGGUACGCUAAGUCAGAUGUGAAAGCCCCGGGCUCAACCUGGGAAUGGCAUUUGAUACUGGCGCACUAGAGUGUGAUAGAGGAAGGCGGAAUUCCCGGUGUGGCGGUGAAAUGCGUAGAGAUCGGGAAGAACACCGAUGGCGAAGGCAGCCUUCUGGGCUAAAACUGACGCUGAGGCGCGAAAGCUAGGGGAGCAAACAGGAUUAGAUA
RNAcentral lists this ribosomal RNA (279 nucleotides) under uncultured bacterium. RNAcentral's name for it is "partial 16S ribosomal RNA". It matches the Rfam family "Bacterial small subunit ribosomal RNA", at positions 506 to 784 of the family's 1533-position model. The record is from RNAcentral.